CAACCAUAACUGCAGCACAAACCACUACAACUACAGCACCAACAACCACAACUGCAGCGCCAACGAAUACAACUACAACUAAAACUGCAGCACAAAGCACCACAACCCCUACAGAAGGGUCAACCACCAUUCAAAUUCCAACAGGCCCACAAGCACUUGCACAUCUAAAGGUAAAGAUGACUACAUACGGGCAGGUUAGCAAUGCAACCAUCAUUGCCCUUCUUGAACAGUUUAACACCAAGGUCCUGAAUGGAAUACCCCACAUUCUCUCUGUGACAAACAUUAAAAAAGUUGGAGCAUAAAAAUUGAAUGUGGACACAAGUCAAAAAUAAAAAUAUAAAGGCAAGAAUUUAACAGUGAGUUAGUAGAUUUGUUUCAACAUGAUCCGGAGCGGCAGUUUGCCUCAGUCGCUUCAUCAUAUCCUGAAUGAUUAGUACAUUGGUGUGAGAAGGAGACAUCAGCUGUGCUGCAGUGGUCGACAGCCUGAUGGGCUUGGAUUGCUCUGUGAAUGCAUGAAACCUAAACCUGGGUGAAAGCAGAUCAUAUUUAAAUAUCAAUCCCCUUACAUGAUCAUUUCUGAAAUUAAAUCAAACUGCAGAAACACAAUGCUGUAGUUCCCAUGAAUUACAAAUGCGCUUUUGGUUUAUCAUCUUGAAAAGUACAAUAGGCAUCUCAAACCAGGCAGCUGGCUAAUAAUGUCAAUACUUACUCACUCUGACAAAAUGGUGACUAGGAAAUCAAAUAAUUUAUAUGCUUUGAAACAAAAAGAAUAUUUUAUUUAUUGGUUACAUGUUUUAGUAAUAUCACUUUUGAGUCAUUUAAAAGUACAGAUCCGGAAAAGCAUUAAUUGUACUGCACACACAGCUAGGCCUCUGAGAAAGUGGGUGACACUCAGUGGGUGAGAAUUCCACAGGUGUUAGCUUACUGCUCACCGUGUCAAUAGAUUUUAAUUACAUUUCCGUAACAGAUUCUGGUUAACUCGGCUUUUCCACAUGGAAAACAAGGAAAAUUAUUACCGUUGGUGCAUAAAUACUGCACCCUAAUGAAGAAAAUAAAUCCGUUUUCAGAUAUUACUGACCAACAACACACUUUUUCCCCUUUGUGGUAUUAGAAUCAAAUCUGUUUUUCAGAAUUUGUUUUUGUAUGUCUGCUGAUUUGUACUGUACUUUAAACUGUGACUAAAUUUUACAAACUUGUCACUCCUGCUACUAAAGUCUCAUAUACACAGAAAUAUAUCGGAUUCUGAUUAUUCUGAAUAAAGAGAUAUAACCAUUUGUAAUGGCCAUUCUUUGUAUCAUUUAUUCUUUCAGAAUUCUUUUUAAAUGAAACUUUAUUCAACUUGUGAAUUUAAAGCAGAUUUAUACCCAUA
Molecule: long non-coding RNA, 1369 nt
Organism: Pundamilia nyererei
Lineage: Eukaryota; Metazoa; Chordata; Actinopteri; Cichliformes; Cichlidae
Exons: 3
Source: RefSeq, a predicted model, not a curated record